CGUCCUGCUGCGCCAGGAGCCCUUUUGUCCCCGGUUUGUUUCCUGAGUGCCCAGGCUACGCGCCCUCCACCGGCGAGCGGAGCCAGAGCCGGGGCCUCCGGAGCCGCUGCCUCCCGCCCACAGGUGCAGCCACCACACUAUGGGCUCCGACGUCUGGGUCGGGCCGUGGCGGCCUCACCGACCCCGCGGCCCCAUCGCCGCGCUGUACCGCGGUCCCGGGCCCAAGUACAAGCUGCCGCCCAACACCGGCUACCUUCUGCACGACCCUUCGCGGCCGCGCGCUCCCGCCUUCACUUUUGGUCUGCGCCUCCCGGCGCAGCAGACGACGUGCGGCCCGGGGCCGGGCCACCUGGUGCCGCCUCGAAUGACCGCGCGCGGCGCUGGCGGCGGCCCAGCUUACUCCAUCCAGGGCCGCCUGCGACACUCGACACCCUUCCGCACUCCCGGACCGGGCAGGUACUUCACAGAAUGCGCGGGGAACGCCACGUACCCCAGCGCACCUCGCUACACCAUCGCCCCCCGCAACUGGGGUGUUCAAGCCUGGCAGCAGACCCCAGGCCCAGCGACCUACACGGUGCCCUCCCUCCUGGGCCCGCGUGUCGUCAGCAAGGUCUCGGCGCCCACCUACUCCAUCUACGGCCGCAGCGCGGUGGGCAGCUGCUUCGAGGACCUCAGCAAGAGCCCGGGACCCUGCGCCUACCACGUGGUAAACCCCGGGAUCUACAAGACUCGCGCACCCCAGUACACGAUGCUGGCGCGGACUUCGCCCCCGCGGGACAACACGCUCAAGCCAGGGCCUGCGGAUUACAACGUGAACCAGGUGGUCUGGAGCUCAAGGACGAGGGUCCUGGGCGGGGUGCGAGACCUAGGGCCCGCGAGGAUCGGGGCCUCGGGAACCGCGGGCCCCGGGAGGUCAGCGGAGUCUCCUGGGUCCGCAGCACCGGAAGCCCAGCGGCUGGAGCUUCGGAAUCCGCCACUCGGACUACGUAGCCCGGAUGGUGACCGACGCAGACAAGUGACUCGGCAGGCGGGCAGCCCUUUGCUUAAAGUUUCUGAGCCAGCAGCGACUCUGCCUCUCUCUCUGCGCCGUACGCAAGGGCAGGCCUUGUAGAAGUGGUGGAGGGGGGACGAGGACGCGCGCCGCUGGGUGGGGAACGGACGCCGAGCGCGCGGACGGUGGAGAGCCGCAAGCCCUGCGCCACAGACCGGAAGUCCUGCGCUCGCCGGGUAGCUCGAGAUUGGCAGCAGCCCGGGAAGCCCCGCCCCCAGCCGCCACUAUUUCAGAUCUCGCGCCCGGGGGCCAGUGACCGGGUGUGCGCAGCCUCAGCGUCUCGGCACCUGGUGGCUGGCGACGCGCGGCGAACUGUAAAGGAAUCGGAGCCAUACGGGCGAGGGCUGCCAUAAUAAAUAGGUGCCAAUGAUCAGUGGAAGAGGUCUGGGGCACACAGGUGGCACCCUGGAUAAGCUAGAGUCCAUUCCUGGAUUCAAUGUCAUCCAGAGCCCUGAACAGGUAUGGGUAGGGGCAUGGACUGGUCCUUGAUGUGGGCUGCCAGGAGACAUGGGCCAUUAUAACUGAUAAACAGUUUACAAGAACUGAAAGGGUGAUAGUCACUGAACUUGAGUCAGAGUCAUCAGCAGAACUUUGACCAAGAUCAUUCCUGGGGACUUGGGUUGCUAAUCAUUAAACAGCCACUGAUCUUUAA
RNA transcript from Cavia porcellus (domestic guinea pig), 1703 nucleotides. It is a transcript of the gene named ciliary microtubule associated protein 1B, with no coding region annotated. The record is from RefSeq and is a predicted model, not a curated record. Lineage: Eukaryota; Metazoa; Chordata; Mammalia; Rodentia; Caviidae. The transcript has 6 exons.